UACGAAGGGGGCGAGCGUUGUUCGGAUUUACUGGGCGUAAAGGGCGCGUAGGCGGCCUUGCAAGUCGGUUGGUGAAAGCCCGGGGCUCAACCCCGGAGGUGCGGCCGAGACUGCAGGGCUGGAGGCCGGAAGAGGAGGGUGGAAUACCCAGUGUAGAGGUGAAAUUCGUAGAUAUUGGGUGGAGCACCGGUGGCGAAAGCGGCUCUCUGGUCCGGACCUGACGCUGAGGCGCGAAAGCGUGGGGAGCAAACAGG
Molecule: ribosomal RNA, 254 nt
Filed under: uncultured bacterium
Lineage: Bacteria
Description: partial 16S ribosomal RNA
Rfam family: Bacterial small subunit ribosomal RNA
Source: RNAcentral